UACAGAGGUGGCAAGCGUUGUUCGGAAUUACUGGGCGUAAAGGGCGCGUAGGCGGCCUUCUAAGUCAGACGUGAAAUCCCCCGGCUUAACCUGGGAACUGCGUCUGAUACUGGGAGGCUCGAGUAUGGGAGAGGGAUGUAGAAUUCCAGGUGUAGCGGUGAAAUGCGUAGAUAUCUGGAGGAAUACCGGUGGCGAAGGCGGCAUCCUGGACCAUAACUGACGCUGAGGCGCGAAAGCUAGGGGAGCAAACGGG
RNAcentral lists this ribosomal RNA (253 nucleotides) under uncultured bacterium. RNAcentral's name for it is "partial 16S ribosomal RNA". It matches the Rfam family "Bacterial small subunit ribosomal RNA", at positions 524 to 776 of the family's 1533-position model. The record is from RNAcentral.